This 18812-nucleotide long non-coding RNA is filed under the name Lactuca sativa (garden lettuce). RNAcentral describes it as "long non-coding RNA (LSAT_LNC008991)". Lineage: Eukaryota; Viridiplantae; Streptophyta; Magnoliopsida; Asterales; Asteraceae. The record is from RNAcentral.
CGCCUUUCUGCCACACCAUUCAACUGCGGUGUCCUAGGUGGCGUCAAUUGCGAAACUAUUCCGCAUUCCUUGAGAUAGUCGUGGAAUUCAAGACUUAGGUACUCUCCUCCUCGAUCGGAUCGAAACAUCUUGAUUUUCCUGCCCAAUUGAUUCUCCACUUCAUUCUUGAACUCUUUGAACUUUUCAAACGUUUCCGACGUGUGCUUGAUUAAGUAAAUAUACCCAUAUCUACUAUAAUCAUCGGUGAAAGUCACGUAGAAGCAGUUCCCAUCCUUUGUGGUGGAUCUAAACGACACACUUACAUUAGUAUGUAUGAGAUCCAAUAAACCCUCACCCCUAUCACAAGUGCCAGUGAAUGGUGACUUGGUCAUCUUUCCAAGUAAACAAGAUUCACACGUGUCAUCUUCCCUAAGGUCGAAUGACUCCAACACUCCAUCCUUUUGGAGUUGGGCUAUGCGCUUCUUGUAGACAUGUCCAAGACGACAAUGCCACAAAGAUGCUUUAUCCAUACCAUUGGAAGAAUCCAUACGUAAUACAUCAUUUCCUAGGUUAUCUAGAACCAUAACACUUUCAUAAAUUCCAUUACAAGGCAUUGCUUCAAAGUAUAAACCACCAUUUAUAUAAGCAUAAAUAGAACCAUUCUCAUUAUUAAACGAAUAUCUAAAUCCUUGUCUAAAUAAACCAUGAAAUGAAAUGAUGUUUCUUGCCAUAUCUGGCGAGUAGCAACAAUUAUUUAAAUCUAAAUUCAAUCCAUUACUAAGCACUAAAGAAUACACUCCAAUCUUGGUAACAGGCGACGAUCUUCUGUUCCCCAUGAUUAGAUUUAUUCUUCCAAGCUCCACAUCCCUAUUUCUUCCUAGUCCCUGCAAAUCAGAACAAAUAUGGUAACCACACCCUGUAUCAAGAACCCAAGAAAUAGCAUGAGAUGAAUCAUUAGAUUUAAUUGUGUAAAUACCUGCAAAAAAGAUGGAUUGAUCUUUCCAUCCUUGAUGGCGUGCAGAUAUUCCGGGCAGCUUCUCUUCCAAUGCCAUAUUUUGUGGCAAUGAUGGCACUCUGCCUCCUUUGGGUCAGGGCUGGGCUUAGCAGGAUCAACCUUGGUCCCACUAGAAGAGGAACCAUCUUGGGACUUUCCCUUGCAGUGGAUCUUUGACGGAGCCUUCCUCUUCUUGCCCAUUCCCUACCCUAUAGCCAAAACAGGAGCAACGAAUGGAUUGGGAGUUGGUGCAGCAGACUUGUCCUUUAGGUUUCUCUCAGCAGUCCUUAGGAGCCCUUGGAGUUUGCUUAGGGUGAACUCUUCCUUGUUCAUGUGGUAGGUCAUCCUAAAUUGGUUGUAGCAUGAGGGCAAGGAGUGAAGAACAAUGUCGAUGGCCAAAUCCUCCCCAAAGAUAACAUUUAACUUGCGAAGACGAUCAAAAUAUCUUUGCAUCUUUUGCAAGUGCACGGUAAGAGAUUCUCCACUUCCAAUUUUAGCAGUGAUCAUAUUCGUGAUGAUCUCAUUGUGCUCUUGCCUCGCGCUUUGGUGGUACCUCUCCAUUAGGUCUUGAUGCAUAUCAUACGGAUACAUGUCCUCAUAGUACUUUUGGAAUUCUUGGUUCAUUGUGGCUAUCAUGAUGCAAUGGACCUUCUUUGCAUCACGUUCAUGGGUCUCAAAGACAGCCAUCUCUUUGGGAGUAGCGAUUUCUGGGUUGACUUUCUCAAGCUUUUCGUCGAGGACAUACUCUUUGUCCUCGUAGUGUGCGAUCGUGUGAAUGUAUCUUAUCCACUCGCUAAAGUUCGAUCCAUCGAAAGUUACCUUUUGGCAAGGACUCAUUAACGUGAAUGAGUUAGCAGCAACGUUGUUUGCGUUCGACAUCUACAAAUAGAAAGGACAAAGUUUGAUUAGAAUUGAAUCCCUAAUUAAACACCCAAAAUGAAAAAUUAGGGCUAGGACCCAACAAUAUUAUUCACAUAUUAGAAAAGGGAUGCCAUAAUCCAACACACAAAUAAUUUGGAGGUAAGUGAAUGGCGAUUCACUAAUUCUUCACCAUGAAAACAUAACCUUAAGUUUUAAAUGCAUUGAGAAUUCCUAGAUUUUCUUGGAGAUUCAUUGAAAUUUUCAAUGGCAUGUUUAAAUCUCGAUAUGCCCCUGUCGUUUGUGACUGGAAUACCGAGGAUCACAAAGUGGGUGUGCCGGUAAACCACACAUGCUCCAUCGAACUAUGAAAAACAAUGAAUCACCCUUUGCCACCUUUUCUUAGAACCAAUUAGUGUGCCGAUAAACCACACACGCUCCACUAACUUCUUAGCAAGGGUGCAAAGUGUAAUUUCAUGGGAUUGCAUCAAUUCACUUUUCCUUAAAGUAACUAGGAUUGGGAAUUUGGAAAAACAUGUAGUUACUUUAUAUUUUAACAUUAUACUUUUAAUGAGAAGAGAGAGUUUCCCUAUCCUACCCGUUCGGCUAACGACCCUCCACCAGUCAAGCAAGCGGUGGGUGUGAGUGUACACCCAUUAAGCGCCAUUUUAUAGGCAGCAACCUUAUACCCACCUUAUAGACCGGCUUCGUGAAUGAGGCCUACUAACGGUAAGACUAGCAUUUUAAUUAUACUUAUANAGACAUGUCCAAGACGACAAUGCCACAAAGAUGCUUUAUCCAUACCAUUGGAAGAAUCCAUACGUAAUACAUCAUUUCCUAGGUUAUCUAGAACCAUAACACUUUCAUAAAUUCCAUUACAAGGCAUUGCUUCAAAGUAUAAACCACCAUUUAUAUAAGCAUAAAUAGAACCAUUCUCAUUAUUAAACGAAUAUCUAAAUCCUUGUCUAAAUAAACCAUGAAAUGAAAUGAUGUUUCUUGCCAUAUCUGGCGAGUAGCAACAAUUAUUUAAAUCUAAAUUCAAUCCAUUACUAAGCACUAAAGAAUACACUCCAAUCUUGGUAACAAGCGACGAUCUUCUGUUCCACAUGAUUAGAUUUAUUCUUCCAAGCUCCACAUCCCUAUUUCUUCCUAGUCCCUGCAAAUCAGAACAAAUAUGGUAACCACACCCUGUAUCAAGAACCCAAGAAAUAGCAUGAGAUGAAUCAUUAGAUUUAAUUGUGUAAAUACCUGCAAAAAAGAUGGAUUGAUCUUUCCAUCCUUGAUGGCGUGCAGAUAUUCCGGGCAGCUUCUCUUCCAAUGCCAUAUUUUGUGGCAAUGAUGGCACUCUGCCUCCUUUGGGUCAGGGCUGGGCUUAGCAGGAUCAACCUUGGUCCCACUAGAAGAGGAACCAUCUUGGGACUUUCCCUUGCAGUGGAUCUUUGACGGAGCCUUCCUCUUCUUGCCCAUUCCCUACCCUAUAGCCAAAACAGGAGCAACGAAUGGAUUGGGAGUUGGUGCAGCAGACUUGUCCUUUAGGUUUCUCUCAGCAGUCCUUAGGAGCCCUUGGAGUUUGCUUAGGGUGAACUCUUCCUUGUUCAUGUGGUAGGUCAUCCUAAAUUGGUUGUAGCAUGAGGGCAAGGAGUGAAGAACAAUGUCGAUGGCCAAAUCCUCCCCAAAGAUAACAUUUAACUUGCGAAGACGAUCAAAAUAUCUUUGCAUCUUUUGCAAGUGCACGGUAAGAGAUUCUCCACUUCCAAUUUUAGCAGUGAUCAUAUUCGUGAUGAUCUCAUUGUGCUCUUGCCUCGCGCUUUGGUGGUACCUCUCCAUUAGGUCUUGAUGCAUAUCAUACGGAUACAUGUCCUCAUAGUACUUUUGGAAUUCUUGGUUCAUUGUGGCUAUCAUGAUGCAAUGGACCUUCUUUGCAUCACGUUCAUGGGUCUCAAAGACAGCCAUCUCUUUGGGAGUAGCGAUUUCUGGGUUGACUUUCUCAAGCUUUUCGUCGAGGACAUACUCUUUGUCCUCGUAGUGUGCGAUCGUGUGAAUGUAUCUUAUCCACUCGCUAAAGUUCGAUCCAUCGAAAGUUACCUUUUGGCAAGGACUCAUUAACGUGAAUGAGUUAGCAGCAACGUUGUUUGCGUUCGACAUCUACAAAUAGAAAGGACAAAGUUUGAUUAGAAUUGAAUCCCUAAUUAAACACCCAAAAUGAAAAAUUAGGGCUAGGACCCAACAAUAUUAUUCACAUAUUAGAAAAGGGAUGCCAUAAUCCAACACACAAAUAAUUUGGAGGUAAGUGAAUGGCGAUUCACUAAUUCUUCACCAUGAAAACAUAACCUUAAGUUUUAAAUGCAUUGAGAAUUCCUAGAUUUUCUUGGAGAUUCAUUGAAAUUUUCAAUGGCAUGUUUAAAUCUCGAUAUGCCCCUGUCGUUUGUGACUGGAAUACCGAGGAUCACAAAGUGGGUGUGCCGGUAAACCACACAUGCUCCAUCGAACUAUGAAAAACAAUGAAUCACCCUUUGCCACCUUUUCUUAGAACCAAUUAGUGUGCCGAUAAACCACACACGCUCCACUAACUUCUUAGCAAGGGUGCAAAGUGUAAUUUCAUGGGAUUGCAUCAAUUCACUUUUGCCUAAAGUAACUAGGAUUGGGAAUUUGGAAAAACAUGUAGUUACUUUAUUUUUAACAUUAUGUUUUUAAUGAGAAUAGAGAGUUUCCCUAUCCUACCCGUUCGGCUAACGACCCUCCACCAGUCAAGCAAGCGGUGGGUGUGAGUGUACACCCAUUAAGCGCCAUUUUAAAGGCAGCAAACUUAUACCCACCUUAUAGACCGGCUUCGUGAAUGAGGCCUACUAACGGUAAGACUAGCAUUUUAAUUAUACUUAUACAUAUUCAUUAAGCUUUUAAUAAUAUAAUAGUAUAGGGUUGAAUUUUUAAACUUGUAAAACUCUAGGGGUUGAAAUUUAAAUUCUUCUAAAUUAAACUUUUAAUCACAAAAUUCAAAUCUCAAAACUUCGGGACAAAUUUUGAACUUUUCAAAACUAAAGGGAUCAUAUAACAAAUAAUUCAAAUAACUAAUUUCAUAAUUAUCCAUAUUUGGCCUAAUCCAAUUUUAGUCAUUAGAUAAUUACCAAAUAAUUUUAAAUAGUCCAUAUUUAUCAUAUAAAUAACCAAUAUUCAAAAGAUUUGAAAUUAUCUAUUGUUAUGUCAAGGAUAGUCAUAAAAUUAAGUCAAAAUUCGGAUUUUAACAUAACAAAACGAUUUUGGUAUCAAAUCCAAGAAAAAACAUCAACAAAAUCCUGAAAUAUCCUCUACCUGACGCUCAGACUCGUCGAAUAGGGCCAACUCGCCGAGUCCAGACACUGACUCGCCGAGUUGAGUCGGGAAGAGGCCAAGAAAAACGAUUUUCAGCAAGCAAAACAGUUAAGCAUCACACUCAAUUGAAACCAAUCAAGGAUUUGAUACCACUGAUGGGUUUGAGCCAUAAGAACUUUCCUAUGUGCACAUGCAAACCCUAAUGCUUGGAUCUAGGUUUCUCUAAUUGAACAUGCUUUAUAUCCAAGACUUUGAAUCAUAGAUAUAGUGUAAACAAACGAUUCAUAACAAAUGAAAUCAGAUCUAGAAGAAUACCUUGAGUUACUUGCUUGAAAAUUUAUUUUCCUUGGAGCUUAGAGUCACAAUUGUCACUCCUCUAAUGGCUUACAAACACCUACUAGCAAGAAUAUGAUUUGAGAGAGGGAGAGAGGUGAGAAAUCGGCUCUAGGGUUUCCUCAAAACAUAGAGUAUCCGAUUUCUCCAACCCUAAGGGUCUAUUUAUACUAUGUGCUCCUAGGGUUUCACCUUAAACCCUAAUUGGAUAACUUAGCCUCAAAGCAAUCCAAAGAUCCUUCUAGAUAAGGCCUUGGAUGAUUUCUAAGAUAUCUAUAUCCUUAAAACCGUCCCUUCCCAUAUCCAUAAGGAUUCAUAGCCCAAAACACAACUAUCACACAUUUGACAGUUUAUGCCCCUUUAUUCAAUUAAUCUCUUUAAGUCACCAAAUUAAUUCCUAAUUAAUUUAUGACUUAUAUCAAUCAAAUAAUAUUAUUAUUCCUUUAACAUAUUAUUCUUAUAAAAAUUCCUAAUAAUAAUAUCUCUUCUUUCUAUAUAAUCACCUUGUCAAGUUGCUAUGGUGAAGGCAACCCGAAAGGACUAUACACAACCGGGUCAAGUACUUACCAAAUAUAGUUACAACCUUAGACACUAAUCCAACAAGUAUACUAACUACCUCCGAAGUCUAAAACACAUGCUCGCAACAUAUCCUCUAGAGUCUGGAUGAUCCGCUCACUCUGACCAUCUUUCUGUGGGUGAAAAGCGGUGCUGAAGUGUAGACGAGUACCCAACUCGUCAUGAAACUUCUUCAAGAAUCUUGAAGUAAACCGUACGUCUCGGUUCGAAAUCACCGAGACUGGCACUCCGUGCCGAGCUACUACCUCUCGGAUGUAGAUAUCGGCACACUUCUUGACCGAGAUGCUCUCCUGGAUCGGUAUGUAAUGGACACUCUUGGUCAACCGAUCCAUGAUGACCCAAAUCGAAUCCACUCCCCGUGCAGUCCUUGGAAGCUUGGUAAUGAAAUCCAUAGUGAUGUCUUCCCAUUUCCACAGCGGAAUAUCUAAUGGAUGGGUCAUGCCGUGAGGCCUCUGUUGCUCGGCCUUGACCUUCCUGCAGGUUAGGAAUAUCUCAACGAACCAUGCUACACCCAUCUUCAUGCAGGGCCACCAAUAAUCAAGACGAAGAUCCCUGUACAUCUUUGUUGCCCCGCGAUGGAUAGAAAACCUAGGUUUAUACGCCUCCUCCAUCUGUACCUAGCGCACACCUCCAUGAUAUGGGACCCACACUCUACGGUGUAGAUUCAACAAUACAAGACUAUCAUAACCGAAGGAGGAAACCUAGCCCACAAUACGCUCACUCUUACGAUGUUCCUCCUUCAUAGCCUCCUGUUGGGCCUCUUGAAUCCGCUCCAACAAUGGAGUCACAACGUUCAUCUUCAAGCAGAUGUCUCUGAUCGGCACUGCCUUGCGGCUAAGCACAUUGGCCACGACAUUGGCCUUCCCCGGGUGGUAGAGGAUCUCACAAUCGUAAUCCUUCACCAUAUCAAGCCACCGACGCUGCCUCAUGUUCAUAUUCGGCUGAUCCAUAAGGUACCUCAAACUCUUAUGGUCCGUGUAAAUGGUACAACGGACCCCAUAAAGAUAAUGAUGCCAAAUCGUGAGGGCAAAAACAACUGCCCCCAACUCCAAAUCAUGUGUCGGAUAGUUCGCCUCAUGAGGCUUCAGCUGCCUCGAUGCGUAGGCGAUAACAUGCCCCCUUUGCAUCAAUACUGCGGGUAAACCCGAGAUGGACACAUCGAAAAAUACCACAAAAUCAUCCAUUCCCUUUGGCAGGGCUAAGAUUGGCGCCUCACAUAAUCUCUGUCUCAAAGUGUUAAAUGCAGCCUGCUGCUCUGACCCCCCAACGAAAGACCACGACUUUCCUCGUCAACCGGGUCAAAGGCACUACUAUCUUGGAGAAGUCCUGAAUGAAUCUCCGAUACUACCCUGCCAAUCCCAGGAAGCUCCGAAUCUCAGAUGGAGACUUCGGGACCUCCCACCUCAUCACGACCUCCACUUUGGCUGGAUCGACUGAAAUCCCGUCCUGGUUGACAAGGUGCCUAAGAAACUGCACCCCACACAACCAGAACUCACACUUGGAGAAAUUAGCAUACAAGCUUGUUGGCUUUUGAGCAUUCUAACACUCCUAUGGUGCACAUGCAACUCUAUAAACCUUGGAUAUAUAUUUUCUCUAUUAUACAUGCAAAUAUUCAAUAUUCCAAGGUUUUAUCCUAACUAGCAUAUUAUGAAGCAACUAUACUAUAAAAGUCUAGUUAGAUGACAUACCAUUUGAUGAAGCUUGAAGUCUUGAACUUUAAAAGCUUAGCCUCAAUAGUGUGGAAGCCUCAAGUGGAAUCACAAAUCACCAAAAACACCUUGGAAAACUUGAGAGAAUAGUAAACACACUUUGGCCCACUCUUGUAUCCUUACACACUAGUGGCAUUUCAUGUGGCAAAGACCUCUUUAAUUAGUUUCUUUUUUUUAUCACCAAAUUAAUUCUAAAUUAAUUCUUGAUCAAUACUAAUUAAAUAAUAUGAUUCCAUAUUAAUAUAUUAGAACUUAUAAUAUAUUAAUAUAAAUCAUAAACAUACUAUUCUCCAAAGACACUCCAUACAAAUUGUUCCGGUGAAGUGCAACCCAAAUGGACCAUGCCAAGUCGGGUGGAAUACAUACUAAUAAAAAUUAUUGACUUAGACAUCCAAUCGAACAGUUUAACACUCAGAUAAGUCUAAAACUAUUAUUGUGUAUGACUCCAAAACCCGACUAGCAAUCGUAGCUCUUAAAGCCGCUGUCGAACUCUUAUCUAGUCAAUAACUUGUCCAUUAGAUAAGGGAUCAUAUAUUCCUCCAUUCUAGAUAUCAUAUGGACUGAGACAUGGAUUAUAAUCAUUCUCUCUAUCCAUUUGUUGUUUCUUGAUUUCCGAUUUUUUACGACCGGCUAAUUGAACAAAUCACAUUAGUCCAAGCUUGGCCAAGCACUUCGGGUUGUCAUGACUAAAUCAUGGAGGGGCCCACAUAUAUCGCUUUUAUCCCUUCAAGGGUAAAAGGAAUGGAUAAACUUCAAAUCAGAUAAUUGUUUUACUAAUUGUUGAAUCAUACACAAAGGCACAUUUUAUAACAUCGAGUUACCAAUGUGUUUUCUUGCAAUCAAUGUAUGACCAAGUCAUAGUCAACGACUCAUAUCUCUAGGUUUGAAGAAUAGAAGAUAUUAUCGUCUCAUGAUCACUCGUGCUAAAAUCCAUGAAGUGAUUCAAAUGAGCAUGGGUUGAAUCUAAUACUCAGAACUUAUGAGCACUCAUGAGUGUUAUAGCAACUCUUGCUAUGUCCAACAUCUUAGACGUCUACAACCUAGAUUCAUGACAGUCUUGCCUUAAUACCUACUUCCAACGUAUUAUCGACUGUGGAUGGUUUGAACAACUUAGUCAUUCAGGAAGAAUGACCUAGUUAUUUUGGAAGUCAAAAAACGCAAAGUGAAACACAAGAAUAAUCGAAUUUAAUUGGUCUCAAAACUUAUGAAUAUAAAUACAACACCUUUUAUUUAUCACCAUAUUGAUUACACAUCAUUCAUUGAAUUUUGUUUCAAAUUAUCAACUUUAUACUUGAAUUAAAACAACAGUUGUCCCAAGCUCCAACCAGGUGCACUAUGUUUUCUAAACACUAGUAAUGCCAUACACCAAGUAUGCACACUAUGUUUUUCCAAACAUUAGUUAUGCUAUACACCAAGUGUGCACACUAAGUUUGUCUAUGAUCUUUACUUUGUAAAAUAGAUCGAUUGAACAUAAUUCCAAUGAUUCUCAUUUCACAAUCCCAAAUCCUUACCGCAAAUGCAAGAAUUCCAAAUUCCUGCCAUUUACCGAAAUCUAUUAGAUUUUAAACUUAUACGCACUGAUCCUCUGUAAUGAUUAUGCAGAAAGUCACAAAGACAUGUCAAUAGACAUUACAAAGUAUUCCAAUGUAGAUCAACUCCAUGGAAAAUGAAGUCUCAUAUUCAAAGUACAUUGCUUUGAACAUCCUUCUUGCAUUAAGUUUUCUAAUCUUACACAUAUUUAAUAGUUUCCACCCAUGGAGACAUUUCCAUAUUCCCAUUUUGACUAUCACUUCUAAACAAGAGUUGCCUCCUUUUAGAAUAUGUCAAUAUGGUCCUUCUAAAAUUAACACUAUACUUCCAACUGUUCCUGAGCAACCAAUCUUUGGUAAACAUUAGAUUGUCCUCGACAAUUGCUUAAUCAUUUUCGUCAUAUCCAAUUCUAGACCUUUUUCCCCCUCUUAAUACCGCCAGACAUUUGGAAAAAUUUAGAAAAGGAUAAUGUUAUAGCACAUGCAAUCGAUCCUACACCGGAAACAUAUGGGAUACGAUUCAUGAUGUCUCACAUAAAGACAUGAUACUAGACCAGUCUUUUUCUAUUAUAUUUCUAUUUCUAUUUGCCAUGUUCUCAUAAUUCAGAUUAUGAAAAGGGAUGUCGUAAUCAUAAUCGAAUUUUAGAAUGCAAAUAAUGUUCCCAUAUAUAGAAUUUCCGUAGGUUGAACCAUUCCAACAUAGCAUUCAUAUAUAUACUUGACUAAAUAUGAUUAAAAUCUCAAUCUAAGCUUUUAGAAUUGAAAUGAAGUACAGUUUCCUCUCCCUUAAUUAUAGCAAAACAACUUUUCCCAAUUAAAACUUUUGUUUUCUAUAAUUAACCUUGCUAACUUGCAACAGUUAUCAUAAUUAUUAUGUGCUCCCACUAACAUGAUGAUUAUUAGCAUAACACUUAUGUUCCCACUAGCUUUGACGUGUACUCAGAAAUCAGCCAGACUUCUAGAAAUCAAUAGUUUAUUGACUUUCUUACUAAAGUUCAGACUUCUGAUACGAAAUGCUUUUAUAAAACUUUAUCAAAAUCAUACACCUUUUCUUAGAUAGCACACAUGUGUGUCUAAACAAUUUCAGAACUAUGAAAAGGGAUGUCAUAAUCAUAUUCUCAAUUGUUUAUAUCUUUUCCAUAUCUCACAAGUCCAUGUUAGUGUGCCGGUUAACGACACACGCUCCACUAACGACUUUGAGAAUGCAAAUAUCACAAUUGUUAUCUACUUAAAAUCACUUAAUGAAAGCAUUUCCUCACCAUCAUUUUCAUGAAUUGGAGAGAAACCUUAUGACACUUUCAUUUUAUGGUGUAUGUGAUCAUAUCCAUGUGAAUUUGUCAAAACCAUAAUCACAAGACAAGGUUAGUGACAAAUCCAAACACAUAUGGAUUUAACUUGUGCAGUCUUAACUUCUUUCCACCUGGCAGCACAAGGGCCUACCAUUUCUUCCAAGUUGUUAUGCAACCAAUUGAGACUCUCAUAACUCAUAUGCAAAGCCAACUUUAACUAGGAUGGGCACAUAAAUAGAAAUAUGUCAACACAAUAGGUUAUAAACUUCAAGUCAUGUGAUAGUGAUAAACUACAAGUUUUAUUCUUGAUUAGACUCCUUCAAGAUCUUUUGGGCUCCCACUGUCCUCUUGACAUAUAAGACUCUCUUGCCAAGACCCAUUCUUUGACUAACAAAUAUUCAAGAGAUAGUGCGGAUUCUAAUCAAGACAAACACUUCACACAAUUGGCCUAAGUUGGUCUCUAUUUUAUCCAAAACAUCACAACUUACCAAUUUCAAGUGUAUAAAAGUAGAGCACAUUUUACUCUUACAUUUGACAAGUGUCAGUAAACCUUCUUCAAGUGUGUCACUCAAAUUACAAUCUUCGAGUAUGACUCUAAGACUUGUUUUGGAACGAAAUAUGACUCAUCUUCUUUAUUUAACCAUUUCAACAAUUCAGGAUUCCUCUUCUUAGUCAUAAGAAUGCACUAAGAUGUCCUUAGAGGACUAAUUGUGAUAUGAUUUCUAAAUCAUUAAGAUGAUCACAAAACAUGAUACUAAAGUACUCUCCCAUCUUUUCAGAUUUGAGGAACUUUUAUCUUUAUGCCUAAUUUGAUUCUUCUCAUUCGUUCUGCCAUACAUCGAAACUUUUCCAAUGUUUCAAAAUUAUACUUAAACUUGUAAGUAUAACCAUAUUUACUAAACUUUAGUAAGUCAUGAUGAAUAGUAUUUUUGAUCUUUUGUGGUGGACUUGACCAGUGCACACGAAUGUGUACACGAUCCCUUUGUCCUUCACCUGACUCACAUAUAAAUGUGAACAAGGAAUUAGUCUUAAUUUUCGAAAGAUGAAAAUUCUCAUUCAUCAUACUAUACAACUUGGAUGAUUCCAAGUUUCGGUCCAAUUGAAAACUUAGGCGAUGAGAAUCUUUCCUUAUUUGGUAAAUUUAGACAUUACCACAAAUGAAAGAAUCAAAUUCAUAUUUCCAAUAUUGCUAGAAACAUACAAACAUCAAAUUUCCAUAAAUACUAUUGCAUGGAGAAAUAAAAUAAAGUAAACAAAAUUUUAUUUAUUUAAAAAAUUCGGAAAAAACUUUUCCUUACAAUGCAACUUUAAAUGGAAACUAUGGUAUUACUUAUUUCCUAGAAAUAUAUCAUAACUCGUAAGUAGUAGCUCAAGAAUCCGAUCUUCGAACCAUGCGAUUGAAAUCCAUCUUCGCGAUCAGAUUCAACAUACUCCCUUUAAGUUUCCUUCCCUUUGCUUGAUCCUGCCAUCCAUCAAAAUGUAUUAAGAAUCUUCAAAUUGGAACUUAAGAGAGUUAGAUAGUGGACUUACAUGAAGAAGAGUCAAACUCUUUGACUUGACCUUCUCUCAGAUCUUUCAGAUAGUUAGGACAGGUUCGCAACCAAUUCCCCUUCCUUUGGCAAUAGAAACAUAUGGACCCUUAGGGAACGGUACACGAGACUAUCUCAAACUUAGCCUUUCUCUUUACCAUUUUGUCAACCGAGUUGACUAUGGACGAUCCCUUUCCAUUGGGAAGAGAAAGCUUUUCUGGAUAUCUAAUGUUACCAUUGUUAAUGUCCAUGGUAGUUUGGGAAGUUGAUCUUCUAAUCAAAUUUUCUUUACCAGUGCUCCAAAUCAUUGCUGAUUCAGCAACACCAAGCAAAUAGAUAAGAUCAUUAAGGGUCAUGUCAUAGUCUGUUACAUAGUAGUCCGUAAAGAACUCACUAUGUGACUUAGGAAGUGAUUAGUCAACAUCCAACUUCCUCAAGACUUUGACACCCAACUCUCCUGGCUUGUCAAUAUGUGACUUCAUAUCCCAGAUGUGAGCACACAUAGACCUUGCUUGCCAAUAAGGCUAGAGUGACCUUGAACUUGUAGGUUAGGAAGAAUAAUUGGAGGAGGUGGAGGUAGAGAAGUAUGAUUUCCAUGAGAUUUGGGAAGAUCAUAGUUGUCUAAACUAGACAUCUACAAUGGAGAAAUUCAAGUUAGUUGAUUUACAACCCUUAAUAUAACACCCAAUAUGAAAUAUUAAGGCUAGGACCCAACACAAUAUUUUAUAACUUGGAAGAGGGAUGCUGUAAUCCAAGCUAUAAAAUAUUUGAAGGUAGGAAAAUGAUGAUUCACCAUAUUCCACCAUGAAAGACGAAAUAAUUUAUUAGGUUUUAAUUGGAUUUGAAACUCCUAGAUCUUUUGAGAUUCAUUGAACUUUUCAAUGGCAUGUUUCCAUCUCGAUUAUGCCCUCUCAAGUUUUGUGACUGGGAUGUCGAGGAUCACAAAACAAGGUGUGAAUUACCAUGAGAAUAUACUUGGUACCCUUAAUAUUUAUCUUUUAAUCGAUGUGCCGGUUAACCACACGCGCUCCACCAAUCCUAUGAUAAACAUAAAGUUACCCUUUGCCUACGUUGUUGAAUCCAGGUUAGUGUACCGGUUAAACGCACACGCUCCACUAACGACUUCAGCAAAGUGCAAAGUGUAAUUUCAUGGGUUAGCACCAAAUUCAUAUUUUCCUAAAGUAACUAUGAUUGGGAAUUUAUAAAAGGUUUAGUUACUUUAUAUUUAUCAUUAUACUUAUAAUGAGAAUUAUACUCCUUGUCCUACCCGUCCGGAUAACGACCCUCCACCAGUUAAGGAAGUAGUGGGUGAGAGUGGACACCCAUUAAGUUGCCAUUUUAUAGGCAACAACCUUAUACUCCCCUUAUAGACCGGCUUCAUGAAUGAGGCCUACUAACCGUAAGAGUGACUUGAUCUUAUAUAUACAUACAUACACAUUAUUAACUUAUAAUACUAUAAAGUAUAACGCUUGAAUUUUAACUUUUAAAAUUCUAGGGUUUGGAAUUAAAGUGUGUGUGAGACUUUACAAAUUCCAAAACUUGAGGGCAAGUCUUCAAAUAUUCAAAAACUUUAUGAUUUUCAUAACUUAUGAGUUUAAUUAAGGUUUUAAAAAAGUAUAAUGAAGAGAUUCUUGAACAUCCAUAACUUGAGGACAAGUUAUGGAGUUCAUAAAACUACUUAUGAGAAAAAUAAUCUUUAAUUAUGUAACCUAUGGUUUUUAAUGGAUCUUUAAAAUAAAUGACUUUUGUUAAUCUAUAAGUUGAGGACAAAUUAUGGACUCCAUUAAAACACAUUCAGAUAUAGAAUUAACUAAUAAAAAUUUGCAAAUAAUUCAUUUGAUCUACCAAAACAUAUAAGUGUAUGAACAAUCAUAUCAACAAUUUCAAGAAUUACAUAAACACAUAUAAAACAUGAAAUUAUUGAUAAUAACCUUGAAAUUGGUUUACCAUAAUCAUUACCACAUCGAAAACAGGUUUUAUAAGUCCAAAACAGUUUAAGGUAAUGAUUCUAGACCAAUUCCAACCUUAAAGCUCGAAGAUAUGUUGUCUAGGGGUUCAACUCGUCGAGUGCAUGAACCAACUCGAUGAGUUGGAUGAAUUUAGGCAUGGACUCGGCGAGUCCAUCAGUGGACUCAGCGAGACUGCUGUCCAGAACAACAGAAAAUCCAUUUUUUCAGCAUUUUUCUGCAAUUUGCAUCAAGUAUAAAUGAAAACAAGCCUAGGCUUUGAUACCACUGUUGGGUUUUGAGCAUUCUAAUACUCCUAUGGUGUACAUGCAACCCUAUAAACCUUGGAUCUAUGUUUUCUCUAUUAUACAUGCAAAUAUUCAAUAUUCCAAGGUUUUAUCCUAACUAGCAUAUUAUGAAGCAACUAUACUACAAAAGUCUAGUUAGAUGACAUAACUUUUGAUGAAGCUUUAAGUCUUGAACAUUAAGAGCUUAAACCCAAUAGUGUGGAAGCCACAAGUGGAAUCACAAAUCACCAAAAACACCUUAGAAAACUUGAGAGAAUACUACGCACACUAGAAAUUGGCCCACUCUUGUAUCCUCACACACUAGUGCCAUUUCAUAUGCCAAAGACCUCUUUAUAUAGUAUGGAGGAUUAUGGUUUCAUCCAUGUAAACCCUAAUACUAUGACCUUUCAUUUCCAUAGGAUCCAUGGGUUAAAAACUCCAUGGACUAUCCAUGCAAGCUUGGCCUUGAUGGGUUUUAGCCAUAAGAACUUUCCUAUGUGCGCAUGCAAAACCCUAAUGCUUGGAUCUAGGCUUUCUAAUUAAACAUGCUUUGAAUCCAAGACUUCUAAUGGCUAAUUAGGUUAAAUAACAACAUUGAAACAGAUCUAGAACCAUACCUUUGAAUUCCUUGUUGAUCUUGUAGUCUUGGAGCUUCUAGAGUCACAAAUGUCACUCCUCUAAUGGCUUACAAACACCAAUAGCAAGGAAGAUGAUUUAGGAGAGAGGAGAGGGGAGGAAAUCGGCCAGGGUUCUCUUACUUUAGGUGAGGUGCCGAUUUCCCUUGCCCAUGGGGUCUAUUUAUACUUGUAGAUUCCUUAAGGGUUACAACCUAAACCCUAAUUGGAUAAUCUUCUCUUAAGGCUAUCCAAAUCCUUUCCUUAGAUAACUCAUUGGACGAUUUUGAAGCUAUCCUAGCUUCUAGAAUCCGUCCCCUAUAUAUCUAUAAGGAUUUAUAGUAUUAAGCUUAACUAUCAAACAAUUGACAGUUUAUACCCCUUUAUUUAAUUAACCUCUUUAAGUCACCAAAUUAAUUCCAAUUAAUUCUAUGACUUAUAUUAAUCAAAUAACAAUAUAUUAUUCUUUAUAUUAUUCCCAUAAUAUAUUAAUAAUAUUUACUCUCUCUUAAUAAAUCAUCCUAUCAAGUUGCUAUGGUGAAGGCAACCCAAAAGGACCAUGCACAACCGGGUCAAAUACUUGCCUAAUAUAGUUGCAGCCUUAGACACUAUUCCAACAGUCUCCCACUUGGAUAAGUCUAGUAACUAUAUGCACAAGUACAAUUCGGUUUGCAAUCGUAGCUCUCAAAGACGCUGUCAAACUCUGAUCUAAUCAAUCUUGUCCUUUAGAUAAGGGAUCGUACAGUCCUCUGUUAGAUAUCAUGCUGACAAUCCUAUGGAAUGGUUAGUCAAGCAUUUAGGUUUCUCGAUCUCUGAUUUAUUUGACAUAGAACUUAAUCGAACACAUCAAUUCAGUUCUGACCGGGCCCGGCACAUAAGUCAAAUCAAAUCAUCGAGCGGCCGAGAUAUCGCUUUUACCUUCUUAGAUAAAAGUUACAGAUAAACUUCGACUUAUAUGCAUUUACUUAUUCAUUAACCAACUAUACACAACAAUGCGUUUUAUAACACCGAGUUACUGAUGCGUUUUCGCAUUAUCAAUGUACAAUCAAUUAACAAAUAACAAACCAUAUAUCUAGGUUUUAAGACUAUAUGAUAUUAUCGUCUUGCGAUCACCCUUUUAUAUCAUAUUCCAUAAGGUGAUUCCAGCAAGCGCGGGUUUGUUCCAAUGCUCAAAACUAGUUCAUAAGCACUCAUGAACGUUGCAGCAACCCUUUGCUAUGUCUAACACCAUUUAGACAAUCUACACACCAAUUCAUGACAAUCUUCAUUCAUAUCUACUUCCAACAUAUGAACGAUUGUGGACAAUUUGAACAAUUCGAUUAUUCCUAAUAAACUCAAUUAUUCUGGAAGUCAAAACAUGCAAAGUGAAACAAUAGUUAAACAAUUAACAUAAGAUAGUAACAUUACUCAUAAAUAAAACUCCUUUAUUUAAUCAUCAAAUGUUAAUUACAUUUAUCUAUUACACGUUUCUAAUACUAUCUAAUCUAUGCUAAUAUCAUCCUUCAGCCCAAUACUCCUAGCAUGCUGCAAGUGCUUAACCCUACUCAGUCCCUUCGUAAGCGGAUCUGCUGGGUUAUCUUCUGAUGAUAUCCUCUUCACUACGAGUUGUCCUUCUUCUACACGAUGUCUAAUGAAGUGAUAUUUUCUGUCGAUAUGUCUUGAUCUACCAUGAUCCCUCGGUUCCUUGGUCAAGGCAACCGCUCCUUCGUUAUCACAGAAAAUCUCCAUGGGCUCCUUUAUGGCAGGUACAACUCCAAGAUCACCGAUGAAGUUCUUUAGCCAUAUUGCCUCCUUCGACGCUUCGCUCGCUGCAAUGUACUCUGAUUCGCACGUUGAAUCAGCUACGGUUUCCUGCUUGGAACUCUUCCAUGUCACUGCUCCUCCAUUUAGGGUAAAGACCCAGCCCGACUGCGAACGGUAGUUGUCCCUGUCGGUCUGAAAACUGGCGUCACUAUACCCUCGCACCUUCAAGUCAUCACUCCCUCCGAGGACUAAGAACCAUUCCUUCGUCCUCCGAAGGUACUUAAGGAUAUUCUUCACCGCAAUCCAAUGUGCUCUGCCAGGAUUCCCUUGAUAUCUGCUAACCAUGCUCAAAGCGAAGGCUACAUCAGGGCGAGUACAAGUCAUAGCGUACAUGAUUGAGCCAACUGCGGAAGCGUAUGGUACUCGGCUCAUUUCUGCUAUCUCAGCUUCGGUACUCGGACUUUGAGUCUUACUCAAUUUGGCAUUACUUUGUAUCGGUAGUUCUCCCUUCUUUGAGUUUUCCAUACUAAAACGUUUUAGUACCUUCUCUAAGUAAGUAUUCUGACUAAGUCCAAUUAGUCUCUUACUUCUUUCUCUUACUAUCCUUAUUCCCAAAAUGUAAGAAGCCUCUCCGAGGUCCUUCAUAGCGAAGCACUUCCCGAGCCAGGACUUAACCUCCUGCAGAGUCGGGAUGUCGUUUCCUAUGAGUAAUAUGUCAUCGACAUAUAGAACGAGGAAGCUUACUAUACUCCCACUGGCUUUGACAUAUACACAAGAUUCGUCUUCGCUUCGUACAAAUCCAAACUCUUUGACUUUCUCAUCGAAGCAAAGAUUCCAUCUGCGAGACGCUUGCUUAAGUCCAUAAAUGGACUUCUCAAGCUUACACACUCUAUUCGGAUGCUUCGGAUCCACAAACCCCUCUGGCAGCCAUGUAAACAUCCUUAGCCAACAUUCUGUUAAGGAAAGCGGUCUUGACAUCCAUUUGCCAAAUCUCAUAAUCAUGAAAUGCGGCAAUUGCUAGCAUCACUCUAAUAGAUUUAAUCUUCGCAACUGGUGAGAAGGUCUCAUCAUAGUCAACUCCGGGAGUUUGAGUAAAGCCCUUCGCAACCAAUCGCGCUUUAUAUGUGUGUACGUUUCCAUCCACGUCGGUCUUCUUCUUGAAGAUCCAUUUGCACCCAACGGUCUUACGUCCGGGCACAUAAUCAACCAAAUUCCAAACUUGGUUAUCAUACAUGGAUUGGAUCUCGCUAUCCAUUGCCUCUUUCCAUUUUGCAGACUCCGGGCCUGCCAUGGCUUCCUUAUAGCUAUUAGGUUCAUCAAGAUUUAUUAGUGUACCAUCACUAAUAUACGUGUCCCCUUCGGUAGUAAUAUGAAAACCAUAAAACUGGGGUUGAACUCUAACUCUAUCGGAACGUCUAAGAGGUAAGGAUUCGUCAAUCGGUUCAACCGGAGUUUCCUCCUCGGGUUGAGUGCCAGCGGUAGAGGUUCCUUCAUCUAUCGACUCUUGAAUCUCUUCAAGCUCGAUUUGCCUCCCACUGUCUCCUUGGCUUAUGAGUUCUCGCUCUCGGAAAACUCCUCUCCUCGCAACGAAGACAACAUUGUCCUUCGGUCUAUAGAAGAGAUAUCCAAAGGAUUUCUGCGGGUAGCCGAUGAAAAUACAUCGCUCACUUCGAGGUUCAAGCUUGUCGUGAGUAUCUCGUCUUACGAAAGCCUCGCAACCCCAAACCUUGAUAUGUGCCAACGAGGGAGCUUUCCCUGUCCACAUCUCGUGAGGUGUUUUGGCAACCUUCUUAGUAGGGACUCGGUUAAGGAUAUGGGCGGCAGUCUCUAAGGCAUACCCCCAAAAAGAGAUUGGUAGUGAAGCACGACUCAUCAUAGAGCGAACCAUAUCCAAUAAGGUUCGAUUACGCCUUUCUGCCACACCAUUCAACUGCGGUGUCCUAGGAGGCGUCAAUUGCGAAACUAUUCCACACUCCUUGAGAUAAUCGUGGAAUUCAAGACUUAGGUACUCUCCUCCUCGAUCGGAUCGAAGCAUCUUGAUUUUCCUGCCCAAUUGAUUCUCCACUUCAUUCUUGAACUCUUUGAACUUUUCAAAGGUUUCUGACUUUUGCUUGAUU